Molecule: ribosomal RNA, 245 nt
Filed under: uncultured bacterium
Lineage: Bacteria
Description: partial 16S ribosomal RNA
Rfam family: Bacterial small subunit ribosomal RNA
Source: RNAcentral
UACGUAGGUGGCAAGCGUUAUCCGGAUUCACUGGGCGUAAAGAGCGCGUAGGUGGUUCUUCAAGUCAGAUGUUAAAUCUCCCGGCUUAACUGGGAGUUGUCAUCUGAUACUGCUGGACUUGAGGGCGGUAGAGGGAGGUGGAAUUCCCGGUGUAGUGGUGAAAUGCGUAGAUAUCGGGAGGAACACCAGUGGCGAAAGCGGCCUCCUAGGCCGUUCCUGACACUGAGGCGCGAAAGCGUGGGGAG